UAAUUUGAGAGUUUGAUCCUGGCUCAGGACGAACGCUGGCGGCGUGCCUAAUACAUGCAAGUCGAACGAACUCUGGUAUUGAUUGGUGCUUGCAUCAUGAUUUACAUUUGAGUGAGUGGCGAACUGGUGAGUAACACGUGGGAAACCUGCCCAGAAGCGGGGGAUAACACCUGGAAACAGAUGCUAAUACCGCAUAACAACUUGGACCGCAUGGUCCGAGCUUGAAAGAUGGCUUCGGCUAUCACUUUUGGAUGGUCCCGCGGCGUAUUAGCUAGAUGGUGGGGUAACGGCUCACCAUGGCAAUGAUACGUAGCCGACCUGAGAGGGUAAUCGGCCACAUUGGGACUGAGACACGGCCCAAACUCCUACGGGAGGCAGCAGUAGGGAAUCUUCCACAAUGGACGAAAGUCUGAUGGAGCAACGCCGCGUGAGUGAAGAAGGGUUUCGGCUCGUAAAACUCUGUUGUUAAAGAAGAACAUAUCUGAGAGUAACUGUUCAGGUAUUGACGGUAUUUAACCAGAAAGCCACGGCUAACUACGUGCCAGCAGCCGCGGUAAUACGUAGGUGGCAAGCGUUGUCCGGAUUUAUUGGGCGUAAAGCGAGCGCAGGCGGUUUUAAGUCUGAUGUGAAAGCCUUCGGCUCAACCGAAGAAGUGCAUCGGAAACUGGGAAACUUGAGUGCAGAAGAGGACAGUGGAACUCCAUGUGUAGCGGUGAAAUGCGUAGAUAUAUGGAAGAACACCAGUGGCGAAGGCGGCUGUCUGGUCUGUAACUGACGCUGAGGCUCGAAAGUAUGGGUAGCAAACAGGAUUAGAUACCCUGGUAGUCCAUACCGUAAACGAUGAAUGCUAAGUGUUGGAGGGUUUCCGCCCUUCAGUGCUGCAGCUAACGCAUUAAGCAUUCCGCCUGGGGAGUACGGCCGCAAGGCUGAAACUCAAAGGAAUUGACGGGGGCACAAGCGGUGGAGCAUGUGGUUUAAUUCGAAGCUACGCGAAGAACCUUACCAGGUCUUGACAUACUAUGCAAAUCUAAGAGAUUAGACGUUCCCUUCGGGGACAUGGAUACAGGUGGUGCAUGGUUGUCGUCAGCUCGUGUCGUGAGAUGUUGGGUUAAGUCCCGCAACGAGCGCAACCCUUAUUAUCAGUUGCCAGCAUUAAGUUGGGCACUCUGGUGAGACUGCCGGUGACAAACCGGAGGAAGGUGGGGAUGACGUCAAAUCAUCAUGCCCCUUAUGACCUGGGCUACACACGUGCUACAAUGGAUGGUACAACGAGUUGCGAACUCGCGAGAGUAAGCUAAUCUCUUAAAGCCAUUCUCAGUUCGGAUUGUAGGCUGCAACUCGCCUACAUGAAGUCGGAAUCGCUAGUAAUCGCGGAUCAGCAUGCCGCGGUGAAUACGUUCCGGGCCUUGUACACACCGCCCGUCACACCAUGAGAGUUUGUAACACCCAAAGUCGGUGGGGUAACCUUUUAGGAACCAGCCGCCUAAGGUGGGACAGAUGAUUAGGGUGAAGUCGUAACAAGGUAGCCGUAGGAGAACCUGCGGCUGGAUCACCUCCUUU
RNAcentral lists this ribosomal RNA (1560 nucleotides) under Lactiplantibacillus plantarum. RNAcentral's name for it is "16S ribosomal RNA". It matches the Rfam family "Bacterial small subunit ribosomal RNA". Lineage: Bacteria; Bacillati; Bacillota; Bacilli; Lactobacillales; Lactobacillaceae. The record is from RNAcentral.